UCCCUGGUCGUAUAUCGGUUAGUACACGCGCCUGUCAUCAUCGGAAGGCCGCGCGAGAGCUGGGUUCGACUCCCAGCCAGGGAG
This 84-nucleotide transfer RNA is filed under the name Auriscalpium vulgare. RNAcentral describes it as "tRNA-Asp". The record is from RNAcentral. Lineage: Eukaryota; Fungi; Basidiomycota; Agaricomycetes; Russulales; Auriscalpiaceae.